This 122-nucleotide ribosomal RNA is filed under the name Phaseolus vulgaris (common bean). Lineage: Eukaryota; Viridiplantae; Streptophyta; Magnoliopsida; Fabales; Fabaceae. The record is from RNAcentral.
AGGUGCGAUCAUACCAGCACUAAUGCACCGGAUCCCAUCAGAACUCCGCAGUCAAGCGUGCUUGGUCGAGAGUAGUACUAGGAUGGGUGACCUCCUGGGAAGUCCUCGUGUUGCACUUCUUU